CCAGUAGUGAUGUAUGGAAGUGAGAGCUGGACCAUAAAGAAGGCUGAUCGCCAAAGAAUUUAUGCUUUUGAAUUAUGGUGCUGGAGGAGACUCUUGAGAGUCCUAUGGACUGCAAGAAGAUCAAACCUCUCCAUUCUUAAGGAAAUCAGCCCUGAGUGCUCACUGGAAGGACAGAUCCUGAAGCUGAGGCUCCAAUACUUUGGCCACCUCAUGAGAAGAGAAGACUCCCUGGAAAAGACCCUGAUGUUGGGAAAGAUGGAGGGCACAAGGAGAAGGGGACGACAGAGGACGAAAUGGUUGGAUAGUGAUCUCGAAGCUACCAGCAUGAGUUUGACCAAACUGCGGGAGGCAGUGGAAGACAGGAGUGCCUGGCGUGCUCUGGUCCAUGGGGUCAUGAAGACUAAACGACUAAACAACAAAAUUGUCUGCACUAACUGGCAGCAGCUCUACAGGAUUUGGGACAGGGGGUCUUUUCACACCCUACCUGGACCCUCUUAGGGAUUUAGCCCAUGAAGUUCUGUAUGCAAAGCAGAUGUUUUUUUCCACUGAGCUAUGCCCCUUCCCCACAUCUAUCAGUGCUUGUCAGUUCAUUAUAAGAGACAUUACAGCUGUUUGAGAGUUAGUGGUGGAGCUAAUCCUUUUUCAAAGCCAUCCAAAUUGGUGGACAUCAACUACCUCUCUCAGGAGAAAAUGCCAGAGUGUGCUAAGUGAAGAAGUCUUUCCUUUUGUUUGUCUUGGCUCUUUAAACAUCAAAUGAUGUCCCUGUUGGGUUCUGGUAUUCCAAGAGAGGGAGAAAAAUCUCCCUGUUCACUUUCUAGCAGACAGUAAAAACCAGCAGGCUUUCUGAGAGUGGGGUGCUGAUAAAACAGAAGUGAUUUCUCUCUUUUUCUUUUCAAAAGAGCUUCAUUGUGAUAGUCGCCAUUCUCCUUAGCCAGUACAUAUCUAAGGAGAUCCAGGUCCCUAUGUCUUUUUCAACGGAUAUUUUUUUUAUUUUUAUGAUUGAACAAACGUUUCAGAUUCUGGGUUGUAUGCAGACUCCUAGAUAUUCAACUGGACUAACUUUCCAUGGAUUAAAAAAGAAAAAUCCUCCCCCCUCCCCCCCAAAUCUUUAUCUAUCAGAACAGGUAACAAGAGAUAAACAUAAAAUAAUUAAAACAUCCGAUGCACUGAUAUAGGAUGGAAGACAUCUGGCUUGACAGCAGUAUGCACGUAAAAAGGAACUAGACCGCAAGUUUAAGAGCAGUCUGAUGAAGCAGCAAAAGGCUAUGUUGACAGAAGCAGAGUGUCCAGAUCAAGGAGAAUAAUAGUCCCACUCUAUUCUGCCUUUGUCAGACCCCCACCUGGAGUCCUUUGUCCAGUUCUGGACACCACAAUUCAAGAAGGAUAUCGACAAGACAGUCGCUUGAGUUGGGGCAUUGCUUAGAGGUUUUUUGUUGGAGUGGGGAUUGUUGGUGAGACUGAUACUAUUUUUUUGUAUUUUUAUUUUAAAAACUUAUGAUUUAUGUGCAAAUCGUUUAAUGUAGCUGUACACUUUUUGAUGUUUUAUUUAUUGUUCAUGACUACUUUGGAUUAUGUUUGUAACCAUGUGAUAUCCCCCCCCCCCCGUUUUGUAAGCUGCCUUGAGCAUGGUUUGAACUGUGAAAAGGUGGCAUACAAAUGAAAUUAUGUAUGCUUGUAUGAAUGUGUUCAGCGAAGAACGACAGAGUGAGCUCCCGUUGCUCUGUCCCAGCUUCUGCCAACCUAGCAGUUCGAGAGCAUGCCAGUGCAAAUAGAUAAAUAGGUACUGUUGUGGUGGGAAGGUAAAUGGCAUUUCCAUGCACACUGCUUUCCGUCAUGGUGUCCGGUUGCACAAGAAGCGGUUUAGUCCUGCUGGCCACAUGACCCGGAAAGCUGGCUGUGGACAAAUGCCGGCUCCCUGGGCCUGAAAGCAAGAUGAGCGCCGCAAUUCCAUUGUUGCCUUUGACUGGACUUAACCGUCCAGGGGUCCUUUACCUUUACCUUUCAGGGAAGGGUGACAUAGAUGAGGAAGGGUCUGGAAACCAAGCCUUAUGAGCAACAGUUGAAGGCAUUGGGCAUGUUUAGCAUGGAGAAGAGAAGGCAGAGAUGAUAGCCAUCUUUAGAAACUUAAAGGGCUUUCAAAUGGAAGAUGGAGCAAGCUUGUUUUCUGCUGCUCCGGAGAGGAAACCCUGAACCAAUGGAAUCAACUGAUGAGAAAGGAGAUUCUGACUAAAUAUUCGUAAUAACUCUCUGAGCUGUUUGACGGUGGAACAGACUCCUUCAGAAGGUGGUGGAUUCCCCUUCAUUGGAGUUUAAAAUGAGGUUGAAUGGCCACCUUUCAGGGAUUCUUUAGCUGCAUUGCAAAGCAGGGACUAGAUUACCUUUGGGAUCACUUCCAACUCUACUAUUCUAUGAUUCUAUCAGCACUUUCCAUUAAUGUUAAUCCCUGAUGUUAAACUGGUUCCUUAAUUCUAUUUUGCAUAUUAAAUGCCACCCAUGCGGAUUUUACUUUCAUUAAUUUUACAAUCAGGCACAUUUACUGAAUUGAUUCAAUAUAUGGUCUUUAUGUGGAGGAAAGUUGAAGACCAUCUCUUGAUGUCCCCCCUCUUCUCCCCUUUCUACCUCUACUUUCCUCACACAAGGGUCAGAUCCACACCAUUCAUUCCCCCAAAUAAUACAGGGAGCUAUAAUUUCUCAAGGGUACUGGCAAUUGUAGCUCUGUGAGGGGUAAAGUACAGUUCCCAGGAUUCCUUGUGCUUUAAGUGUCCCUUCAAUUUGCAAAUGUAACGAUCUCUCAGACAAGCUUGUGCAAGGAGCUCUGGCAAACGUCAUCAUUUGUGUGGUUUGAUCCAACAGCCCAAACCUUUGGGAGAUUAUCUGAAGGCUGGAAUUAACUGGAAAAAGGAGCUCUGGUCAGUUUCACUAUUGUCAAGUAGGUGUGUUUUGUUUUUAAUCUCGAAGCUCAGUUCUUGCAAAUUUAUCUCGCCUGAUCUCUUAAUUGCAGGUCAGAUGGCUUUGGAAACCUUCCUGCAAAAAUAAACACAUUUUGAAGCAAUUUUGUUCCAUUUAGGAACAUGACCAAGCCGCUCUGCUCUGAGUCAGACCAUUCAUCCGUCUAGUUCUGCUCUGCCUUCACUGGUUGGCAGCAGCUGUUCCAGGAUCUUUGAGAGAGACAUUCCAAGCCCAACUGGGAGAUCUUGAAGACUGGACCUGGGACCUGCAUGCAAAGCAGAUGCUCUGCUACUGAGCUACUUAAAUCUCGACCUCAGCAAUAAGCCCUAAAUGGUACCCCACCCCUUGCUGGUCCCUAAGCAUAUCAAGCCUUUGGAGCUGGAGUCAGUCAGGUCCUGCCCUUCCAGGUCACGUGGAAAUAGGCCAAGUAUAUAGCUGCUGCUGCUGCUGCUGCUGCUGCUGCUGCUGCUUCUUCUUCUUCUUCGUCUUCUUCUUCUUCUUCUUCUUCUUCUUCUUCUUCUUCUUCUUCUAUCACUCCUAGCCAAGUAAGAUUGUCUUCCAUAAACACGGGUUUAACAGUGAGUCCAUAAGUGACUGUUGAGGCCAAUUCCGGAUCCACACGUCCUUCCACAGUGGGGACAUAGGUUCCUGGAUGGGAGUUGAUCAAGGUGAGGAUUUGCCAAGCAUGCCUUCCUCUUAGCUUGUUUUCCCCUUUUGUCCUGAGUUUGAGCGUCUUCAAAGUCCAUGACACCUUUGUAAAGGCUGUUCUCCAAUUGGAGCACUCGCAGGCCAGUGUUUCCCAGUUGUCGGUGUUUAUACUACAUUUUUAAAUAUUUGCCUUGAGAGAGUCUUUAAACUUCUUUUGUUGACUCCCAGCAUUACGCUUUCCAUUUUAAAGUUUGGAAUAGAGUAGUUGCUUUGGAAGACGAUAAUCAGGAGACUUCCGGGUCAGCGCCAUCGGUGAAUGGCGGAGUUCCUCCGUCCGGAGGAACAGGCUCCGUGGAAACUGGGUCUUCCCGCCGCGGCGAAGGUGGGGACCCGCUAGAAAUCUCAGGCAGAGGAAGCCUGGGAACGUGGGGUUCGGCAGGACACCAGGAGCGCCCCCCUACUCGCGGGGAACCCCAUUUAGGGGCUCCGGAGCGAAGUGGGGUGAGAAGCGCGGUGCUGUGAACUGACUGCUACUUUCAUGGUGUGAAGCCGCACAGCCAUUGCCAGAGAGCGCUGACUUUUUCCUGUGGACAAUUGGAUUUAAAACAAGUACCCAUGAGUAGAAACAGAAAAUUGGAUCAAGAAAUUAAGGUAAUUUGAAUAAUAGAAUUUGGGGAAAGAUGGAAAGGAUUUGUUGAGCUAAUUAUUAGGUUAAAUUGUUAGGAUAAUUAUUUUUUUUAAACAAAAAUUGAGAAAGAUGGAAAGAAUUUGCUGAAAUAACUAACUAAACUAGAAUACUAAAAGGGAGGUGUGAGGAAGUCAUUGAAACAAGCAAAUGGAAGUUAUAGAUAUGUAACUUGGGAUCUGUGUUGUUUUCUUUUUUCUUUUUAUCUUUUUGUCGUAUUGUUGUAUUGGUUUUUGUGCUUUUUUCUUUUUUUCUUUUUAUGUAUUAUAGUGUUGUCUUUCAAUGUUUCUUUUUUUUCCCUUAUAAUUCUGAAACUACUAAUAAAUAUUAUUUUUUUUAAAAAAAGGAAGACGAUAAUCAGGCAUCCAAACAACAUGACCAGUCCAACGAAGUUGACCUCAGGUGCUGAAUGCUUGUGCCUGGGUCAGUCUAAUUUUUCUGGUUGUUGGGAAUGAUGUGAUAUAUCUGCAUUGCAAAAGCUGGAGAAGGUUUAAAAGAGAGCUGCAUUUCAGUUUGGGUAUUGUUUCGGGAAGUGACAAGGAGAUUCAUUUUCAAAUUUAUUCUCCCCCCCCCCAAAUCCUUGCCUCCUUGAAGACUAAUAAUAAUAAUAAUAAUAAUAAUAAUUUUACCUAUUGAAUUUAUAUCCUGCCUUUCCUUCCCAAGGAACCCUGGGUGGCAUAUACUAUUUAAAAACCACAAACAAAGCCAAAACAUUCUAAAACAAUUAAAACAUUCUAAAAGCAAUUAGAAAUAAAAACAUCCUUCCAUCCAAUGAUCUCAAGGUUUCCAGAAAUAGUAUUCUUCAGCCAACAGAUGUAUCUGGGUAAACAAGAACAUUUUCAAAUUCCUCCAGGAAGUUAAUAAUGAUGGACAUACUUCAGCAGGGAGGGCAUUUCGCAACUGGGGAACCACCACUAAAAAGGCCGUGUCAGGGCCAACCCCAGCUCAAAAUUUUAUAAUUGGAUGCAGGGCCAAUAAAAGGAUGCAAUGUAAAAUUAUGACACCAGAACCGGAGAGUCCCUUCAAAAAAAUCAGUUAUAGCUUGCUGGUGGGUGAAAUGGUUUAUCUCCCUCAUGAGGUCAAAGGUUGCAGCAUUUGGGGAUUUUCAGUUUAGCAAAAAAGUGAGUAAGAGGCGAUGUGAGAGAGGUUUAUAAAAUGAUGCACAGCCUGGAGAAAGCGGACAGAGAAUUUUUGUUUUUCCUCUCUCACAACACUAGAACUCGGGGACAUCCAAGGAAGAUGAAUGUUGGAAGAUUCAGGACAGAUCAAAGAAAGGACUUUUUUUUAACUGUGGAACUCACUGCCACAGGAGGUAAGUGAUUGCCACCAACUUGGAUGGCUUUAAAAGAGGACUGGGCUGCAUCAAUGCAACACUGGAAAAGGUACUAUGAUACAUAUAUGGUGGAAUUCUUUAAACAUCAAACAAUUUUGGGAAACAAUAUAUAACGAAAUGAAAAAAUGUUUAGAUAUUCAUUUAGGAAAACACCAGAAGGUUUUCUAUUGGGAAUAGUACCAGGAAGUCUAAAGGAAGAAGACAAGACAUUAUAUUUAUAUACAACAGUAGCCGCAAGGCUGUUGAUUGCGAAAAAUUGGAAAAGUGGUAUUAUACCGACAAAAAUAGAGUGGCUUGCCAAAUUAUUGGAGUACUAUAAUAUAUCCAAAACAAUGGGAGAAAUUGGAAGGAUCUCAAAAGAGAAGAUAGACAGGGACUGGAAGGUGUUUAAAGGAUACAUGCAAAACCAUAUUGAAAAAUCAGAACUCCUAUUAGAAUAAACAAGUUCUGUUUUAAAUACUGGAAUACUAAAUAAGAUGGAUAACAAUGUGUAAUAGAAAAAGAAGUAUGAAAUUAGGUUAAAGGUGUGUGAAAGAAAGUAAUAGAAGUGGAAAGAAAUUGCAAUUGAGAAGAUUGGAAGUCUAACACAAAGGUGGGGUGAGGGGUGGUGGAUGAUGAUGGGAAAAGGAAUUAUCUGUGGGAUUGAGUGUAGGUAUGUUUGAACAUUUUUAAGGAUUGUAUGAAAUGUAUGUUUGUAUAUUCGCAAUAUGUGUUUAUUAAUGCUGAAUUAUUUUCACAAUAAAAACUUUUUUUUAAAAAGGGACUGGGCAAAUUCAUCAGGAAGGCUAUCCAUGGCUACUAGCAAUUAUGGUUCUGCUCUGCCUCCAUAGUUGGAGUCAACGAUGCUUGCUGGAAACCGCAGGAGGGGAGAGGGGUCUUGUGUUGGGGUCUUGCUUGAGGGUUCUGUUUGUGGUGGACUAGACGGGCCACUGGCCUAAUCCAGCUGGCUCUUAUGUAAAUUUGUCCCUCUACGUGAGUCAGAGAUUUGCCCGUGUGCUUUCCUACAAAUGCCCCUUGCUGGUUCAUAUCCUAGGCUUCCUCCUUUGCCUUCCACAGAGAGUUCGCUGAUCGCAAGGUCUUCCUCUGACUGCGCUGUCCCCUUUUUAUCCCUGAUUGCUUCUUUUUCCAAGGGCAUCUUCCUAAGGACGCAGGAGCGGAAAGUGGCGAUAGCCAGGCUCUUUCCUGUUUGCUGGUCUGCAGGCGACGGGGGCCCUGACCCACUUGGCCUUUGCAUCAAGGUGACUCCAGCGCAGCAGCCAAAACAGUCCCCGUCUUGGUGCAAAACAUCCCUUCCACCCCCACCUGAAAGGAAGAUACCCUCCCACUAAAACAAUGCUCUUUCCCAGCAGGAGUUUGCUCAUCUCCUUCUGAUGCUACAGUAGGGAUACUGAGGCCCGGGGACUUUUAUCUGCUAUUGUUUUAUUUAUGAAUUUUUUAUCCCAUCCCAACCUUCCUCCCCAAGGAGCCCAGGAUGGCAAACAGAUUUUAAAAACAAAAACAGCUCAAAACUAUUAAAGGAAGUUACAAUUUUAAAAAAAUCCAUCUGUCCAGUCAUCUCGAGGUUGCCAGAACAGCAUUUUUUGGCCACCAAAUGCGCAUGGGUAAACAGGAAUGCCUGUUGUCUUUGUCCAUGGAGUUCUCUUGGCAGGGAUACUGGAGUGGCUUGCCGGUUCCUACUCCAGGUGGAUCACGUUUGGUCAAAACUCUCCACCAUCACCUGUUCAUCUUGGGUGCCCUGCUCGGCAUAGUUCAUAGCUUCUCUGAGUUAUUCAAGUCCCUUCGCCACGGUAAGGCCGUGAUCCAUGAAGGGAAUCCAGUGAAAGCUGGACCAUAAAGAAGGCUGAUCGCCAAAGAAUUGAUGCUUUUGAAUUGUGGUGCUGGAGGAGACUCAUGAGAGUCCCAUGGACUGCAAGAAGAUCAAACCUCUCCAUUCUUAAGGAAAUCAGCCCUGAGUGCUCACUGGAAGGACAGAUCCUGAAGCUGAGGCUCCAAUACUUUGGCCACCUCAUGAGAAGAGAAGAGUCCAUGGAAAAGACCCUGAUGUUGGGAAAGAUGGAGGGCACAAGGAGAAGGGGACGACAGAGGACGAGAUGGUUGGACAGUGUUCUCGAAGCUACCAGCAUGAGUUUGACCAAACUGCGG
This 7757-nucleotide long non-coding RNA is filed under the name Podarcis lilfordi (Lilford's wall lizard). Lineage: Eukaryota; Metazoa; Chordata; Lepidosauria; Squamata; Lacertidae. The record is from RNAcentral.